RNAcentral lists this ribosomal RNA (345 nucleotides) under uncultured bacterium. RNAcentral describes it as "bacterial SSU rRNA". It matches the Rfam family "Bacterial small subunit ribosomal RNA", at positions 460 to 804 of the family's 1533-position model. The record is from RNAcentral.
GAAGCGCAAGUGACGGUACCUGCAGAAGAAGCACCGGCUAACUACGUGCCAGCAGCCGCGGUAAUACGUAGGGUGCGAGCGUUGUCCGGAAUUAUUGGGCGUAAAGAGCUCGUAGGCGGUCUGUCGCGUCGGGUGUGAAAACCCGGGGCUUAACCCCGGGCCUGCAUCCGAUACGGGCAGACUAGAGUUCCGUAGGGGAGAAUGGAAUUCCUGGUGUAGCGGUGAAAUGCGCAGAUAUCAGGAGGAACACCGGUGGCGAAGGCGGUUCUCUGGGCCUAUCCUGACGCUGAGGAGCGAAAGCGUGGGGAGCGAACAGGAUUAGAUACCCUGGUAGUCCACCCCGUA